RNAcentral lists this ribosomal RNA (467 nucleotides) under uncultured bacterium. Its description in RNAcentral is "bacterial SSU rRNA". It matches the Rfam family "Bacterial small subunit ribosomal RNA", at positions 355 to 825 of the family's 1533-position model. The record is from RNAcentral.
UAGGGAAUAUUGGGCAAUGGAGGGAACUCUGACCCAGCCAUGCCGCGUGCAGGAUGAAGGCGUUAUGCGUUGUAAACUGCUUUUUAUAUAGGAAGAAAUAGUCCUUGCGAGGAAAGUUGACGGUACUAUAUGAAUAAGCACCGGCUAACUCCGUGCCAGCAGCCGCGGUAAUACGGAGGGUGCAAGCGUUGUCCGGAUUUAUUGGGUUUAAAGGGUGCGUAGGCGGUUUAUUAAGUCAGUGGUGAAAGACGGUCGCUCAACGAUUGCAGUGCCAUUGAUACUGGUAGACUUGAGUAUGAUUGAGGUAGCUGGAAUGGAUAGUGUAGCGGUGAAAUGCAUAGAUAUCGUCAAGAACACCGAUAGCGAAGGCAGCUUACCAAGCUGUAACUGACACUGAGGCACGAAAGUGUGGGGAUCAAACAGGAUUAGAUACCCUCGUAGUCCCUGAGCGGGCUGGCAAGGCGCAU